RNAcentral lists this ribosomal RNA (250 nucleotides) under uncultured bacterium. RNAcentral describes it as "partial 16S ribosomal RNA". It matches the Rfam family "Bacterial small subunit ribosomal RNA", at positions 524 to 773 of the family's 1533-position model. The record is from RNAcentral.
UACGAAGGGGGCUAGCGUUGUUCGGAAUUACUGGGCGUAAAGCGCGCGCAGGCGGUCCUUCAAGUCAGAGGUGAAAGCCCAGGGCUCAACCCUGGAAUUGCCUUUGAGACUGAGGGACUUGGGUACGGGAGAGGUGAGUGGAAUUCCGAGUGUAGAGGUGAAAUUCGUAGAUAUUCGGAAGAACACCAGUGGCGAAGGCGGCUCACUGGCCCGUUACCGACGCUCAGGCGCGACAGCGUGGGGAGCAAAC